GGGAUGCAGUGGUGAACAGGACAGACCAAGUCUCUGGCCUCAUGGAGGAGACACCUCCCUCGCUGCGGGAGACAGAAAAAUGAAUCAGUGAAGAAACUCAGGCACAGAGAAGUUAAGUCACUUGUCCAAGAGCACCCAGCUCCCCUAGUCAACCUGGUUUCAGAAUUCUGCUCUAACCACUACACAGCCUGUCUCUCCUCUGGCGCCUGCUGCUCCCCCAAGAUGAACUGAGCGCAGCCAAGGUUGGGCUCUUCCUUGUUAGACAUCUGCAGCAGCGGUCAGCCACAGAGCACGUGGCCACCCAUCUGGGAGGGCCACCACCCUCCCCAAGGACCCUCCACCACGUCCGUGGAGCCACUGGAGGAACUUGUUUCCCAGGUGCCCAGGGAGCUUGCCAUAAAACCCAGGCUGUGAUGGUGGAGAUAGAAAAAUGGAGAGCUGGACAUUAUGUAAUGAACUUGAUCAUGAUGUAAGUGGCUGAUUUUUCUGCAUGACUUAAUUUUUUAAAAUUGCACAAGCA
Molecule: long non-coding RNA, 520 nt
Filed under: Equus caballus (horse)
Lineage: Eukaryota; Metazoa; Chordata; Mammalia; Perissodactyla; Equidae
Description: lncRNA (ENSECAG00000045369.1)
Source: RNAcentral